UAGAGUAUGAGGAGCUAUAGGUGGGCUGAAACAAGGAACGAACUAGCACCACGUUAGUUAUAAAAGCGAGCUGAAUAAGCGUUCGACGAUGGUACUGUGCUGGUCCUAGGCUAGACCGUGCUAGAGAUGCGAGCCUGGACACAAAGGAAAACCACAGCACACCCCCGAAAACAAGGUGGAACAAACCUAAAAUCAAUAUGAAAAACAGCCCCUUUUUUUGAAUCUUUUCUCUUUUCUUUUUUUUUUCUUUUUUUUCUUUUUUUUUGGGCAACCUCAAAAACUGAUUAUAUGAACAAAAGAAUACAAAAGAGCAAUUCGCUACACACACUUUUUUUUUCUCUCUCUCUCUAGAGUAAGGCCGAACAAGUAUGGAGUUAUCUUUCUUUUUAGAUCACAGAAGGACUCACAUAGAUGGAGUUCAGGCUAUAUUAACAAGCGGACUCCAAGUUCUAUUCGGUUUCCACUCAGAACCAACCACAAAACGGAUUCCACCUAUUGCCGAGUUCUACUCGGUUUCCUUCUAUUUUUUAUCACGUUGGUGGAGCUCAGAUUGGAACUCUACUCGAUCCGUACCAAGACUACAGUUCAAUUCGGACUUCACAACAAAUUCAACAGAGAGAAGAUAUGGUAAUACUCGACUGUGUAUAGAUGGUGACAAGAACUCGAAACUCUAAAGAACUACACUAAGACCAGCAACUCGACACAAACCAAAGCAACGCAAAUUCAACAAGCCCUAACUAAAACGGUACUAGCCAAGGCACAAAGGUUUAAUAGGAUUAUGGAAAAACUAAUCUACUAUAUUUUUUUUGGCUUUUCUGGACUAUAGGAAAUUAAUUAAAAACAACAAAGGAUUAGAAGUCUCUCACCGAAGAACCUUGCUCUGAUUACCAACUGAUGCGAACCCGCUAGGGUUUUUGCCCGAUCUUUUGAUGAGAGACGGGGAUAACUUGAUUGGUGGAUGGAGAUGACGUUCACGGCCUGACUAUAGCCCUCAAGACCGCGCCUUAGCAACCGAUACACCACGUCCAAUAGCCGUCACGAUCUUGUGGAGCGCGACAACCAGCCCCUAGGGCUCCCGUCCUGCAAGCAAUCGAAGAACUAGCAAGAACGAGGAAACAAGCACUAAAUUUGCAAGAUGAAUUGAAGGUUUCAAACUGAAUCUGAAUCAACAAUGGGGUUCCGAAGACAAGGAGACGGGCGGCUGAUCCUGCACGCGCGCCUACAAGCAAGUAGCGAAGGCUAAACUUGAUCUAAACAAAACCCAGUUGUUCAUGGCGGCUCUAGAUGUAAAUAAAUAGAGGGGAGGAUGACCAAAGGGGUGCUAGAGUCGUCCUCCAACCCUAGGACGCGUCCCUAAUGGACUCAACUUGAUACAUGGGCCAUUGGUCCAAAAUAGGGUGACGCAGCACCAAAACAGAAAAAGGUGUCGGCAUGAAAACAAGGACUAUGUAUCAAGCUGCAUAGAUAUGUGGUUGGACCCAUUGGAAAGUAGACUUCAUGAGCUUUCCAACAAGUAUAGGAACGUCCCAGUUGGAGUCCAUAUGACGCCGUGGUGAUCCAUACAAGUUAGAGUUAUUUUCCAGUCCGAAUCCAACUCCCAAAACGUGUUGGGUUUGGACUCUUUGUUUCCUUGCUUUAGAAACGACGUGGUAACUUGAUAGAGGAUGUUGUGGAGGCUUGGACCUGAUCUCCAAUCACCUUUGUUAAGUUAUCACUCUUCCCAUAUGCAAUCAGCCCUUGAAGUUGGUGUUGCCUCAAAUUCUGAAUGCAGUUGAACCUUCCCUUGCUGAUCUUGUCCAUUAUUCCUGAGCAACACGAAAGUGCACGUGUCUCCAUUGUCUAAAUAUGAUUGACAAGAGUUUAAAGCUGAACUUACUUGAAGGUUGAGUUGACGGGCACAAGCACGAGUAAGAGGACCAGCUAUAGGUUGUGUCGGAGAGGAUGUAGGAUAUUAUCGCUGGUGGAUCGUUGAAGUCCACNNNNNNNNNNNNNNNNNNNNNNNNNNNNNNNNNNNNNNNNNNNNNNNNNNNNNNNNNNNNNNNNNNNNNNNNNNNNNNNNNNNNNNNNNNNNNNNNNNNNNNNNNNNNNNNNNNNNNNNNNNNNNNNNNNNNNNNNNNNNNNNNNNNNNNNNNNNNNNNNNNNNNNNNNNNNNNNNNNNNNNNNNNNNNNNNNNNNNNNNNNNNNNNNNNNNNNNNNNNNNNNNNNNNNNNNNNNNNNNNNNNNNNNNNNNNNNNNNNNNNNNNNNNNNNNNNNNNNNNNNNNNNNNNNNNNNNNNNNNNNNNNNNNNNNNNNNNNNNNNNNNNNNNNNNNNNNNNNNNNNNNNNNNNNNNNNNNNNNNNNNNNNNNNNNNNNNNNNNNNNNNNNNNNNNNNNNNNNNNNNNNNNNNNNNNNNNNNNNNNNNNNNNNNNNNNNNNNNNNNNNNNNNNNNNNNNNNNNNNNNNNNNNNNNNNNNNNNNNNNNNNNNNNNNNNNNNNNNNNNNNNNNNNNNNNNNNNNNNNNNNNNNNNNNNNNNNNNNNNNNNNNNNNNNNNNNNNNNNNUUGCCGAGGCGAAGGCUCUAGCGAGAUUCCAUGUGACACACGUCAUCUAGGAGUUCCAUUGGGUGCGUCCAAAUUGAUUUCUUAACAUAUGGUAUGUUCCAUUCAAACUGUGCAACUAUCUUGCAUCAAGAUUAGCACUAUAUCCGAACAGACCAAAUCGAGCCUCCACUUGAGCCUCUUCAACUACGAGUACCAUCGUGUGCGUCUAAAAUUGUUUCUUAGCUUAUGGUGCAUUAGGCGUAAACCAUGCACAUAUCUUCUACCAAAACUAACAGUCUCUAAACAAACCGAAGCAAGAUUCCAUAUGACACACAUCAUCAAGGAGUUAUAUCAGGUGCAUCCUAAUUGAUUUCUCAGCAUUUCGUAUGUUCCAUGCAAACCGUGCAUCUAUCUUGCAUCAAGAUUAGAUUAGACUAUCUCCAAACAGACCAAACCGAGCUUUCACUUUAGCCCUUGACCUAGGAGUACCAUCGGGUGCGUCCAAAACGGUUUAUUAUCCUAUGGUGGAUUAGGUGCAAACCGUGCACCUAUCUUGCACUGAAACUAACACUGUCUCUAAACGGACCGAAGUGAGAUUCCAUACGACACAUGUCAUCUAGGAGUUCCAUCUGGUGCGUCCAAAUUGAUUUCUGAGCAUAUGGUACGUUCCAUGCAAAUCGUGCACCUAUCUUGCAUCAAGAUUAGCACUAUCUCUAAACAGACCAAACCGAACCUCCACUUGAGCCUCUUCACCUAGGAGUACCAACAGGUGCUUCCAAAAUGGUUUGUUAGACUUUGGUGCAUUAGGCGCAAACCGUGCACAUAUCUUGCGCCGAAACUAAUACUAUCUCUAAGCACACCAAAGCGAGAUUCCAUAUGACACACGUCAUCAAAGAUUUCUAUCGGGUGUGUCCAAAUUAAUUCUAAGCAUAUGGUACGUUCCAUGCAGACCAUGCAUCUAUCUUGCAUCAAGAUUAGCACUAUCUCCAAAUAGAUCGAACCGAGCAUCCACUUGAGCCCGUUCACCUAGGAGUACCAACAAGUGCGUCUAAAAUGGUUUCUUAGACUAUGGUGCAUUAGGUGCAAACUGUGCACCUAUCUUGCACCAAAACUAACAAUAUCUCCAAAUGGACCGAAGCAAGAUUCCAUAUGACACACGUCAUCAAGCAGGUCCAUCGGUUGCAUCCAAAUUGAUUUCCAAGCAUAUGGUAUGUUCCAUGCAAAGCAUGCACCUACCUUGCAUAAGUAUUAGCACUAUCACCAAACUGACUGAACCAAGCUUCCACUUUGGCCUCUUCAUCCAAGAGUACCAAAUAGUGCGUCCAAAAUGGUUUCUUAGACUAUGGUGCAUUAGGCGCAAACUGUGCAAUUAUCUUGCACUGAAACUUACAAUGUCUACAAACAGACAAAAGCAAGAUUCCAUAUGACACACGUCAUCUAGGAGUUCCAUUGGGUGCGUCCAAAUUGAUUUUUAAGCAUAUGGUAUGUUCCUUGCAAAUCAUGCAAUUAUCUUGCAUCAAGAUCAGCACUAUCUCCAAACAGAUCAAACUGAGCUUCCACUUGAGCCUCUUCAACGAAGUACCAACAGGUGCUUCCAAAAUGGUUUCUUAGACUAUGGUGCCGUAGGCACAAACCAUGCACAUAUCUUGCACCGAAACUAACACUGUUUCUAAACAGACCAAAGCGAGAUUCCAUAUGACACACGUCAUCAAGGAGUUCCAUCGGGUGCAUCCACAUUGAUUUCCAAGCAUAUUGUAUGUUCCAUGCAAACCGUGCACCUAUCUUGCAUCAAGAUUAGCACUAUCUCCAAACAGACCGAACCGAGCUUCCACUUGAGCCUCUUCAUAUAGGAGUACAAACAGGUGCGUCAAAAAUAGUUUCUUAGACUAUGGUGCAUUACGCACAAACUAUGCACCUAUCUGCAUCGAAACUAACAUUGUUUCCAAACAGAGCGAAGCGAGAUUCCAUGUGACACACGUCAUCUAGGAGUUCCAUUGGGUGCGUCCAAAUUGAUUUCUUCACAUAUGGUACGUUCCAUUCAAACUGCGCCACUAUCUUGCAUCAAGAUUAGCAUUAUAUCCGAACAGACCAAAUCGAGCCUCCACUUGAGCCUCUUCAACUACGAGUACCAUCGAGUGCGUCUAAAAUGGUUUCUUAGCUUAUGGUGCAUUAGGCGUAAUCCAUGCACAUAUCUUCUACCAAAACUAACAGUCUCUAAACGAACCAAAGCAAGAUUCCAUAUGACACACAUCAUCAAGAAGUUAUAUCAGGUGCGUCCUAAUUGAUUUCUGAGCAUAUGGUAUGUUCCAUGCAAACCGUGCAUCUAUCUUGCAUCAAGAUUAGCACUAUCUCCAAACAGACCAAACCGAGCUUUCACUUUAGCCCCUUGACCUAGGAGUACCAUUGGUUGCGUCCAAAACGGUUUCUUAUCCUAUGGUGCAUUAGGUGCAAACCGUGCACCUAUCUUGCACUGAAACUAACACUGUCUCUAAACGGACCGAAGUGAGAUUCCAUACGACACAUGUCAUCUAGGAGUUCCAUCUGGUGCGUCCAAAUUGAUUUCUGAGCAUAUGGUAUGUUCCAUGCAAAUCGUGCACCUAUCUUGCAUCAUGAUUAGCACUAUCUCUAAACAGACCAAACCGAGCCUCCACUUGAGCCUUUUCACCUAGGAGUACCAACUGGUGCUUCCAAAAUGGUAUCUUAGACUUCGGUGCAUUAGGCGCAAACCGUGCACAUAUCUUGCACCGAAACUAAUACUAUCUCUAAGCACACCAAAGCGAGAUUCCAUAUGACACACGUCAUCAAAGAGUUCUAUCGGGUGUGUCCAAACUAAUUUCUAAGCAUAUGGUACGUUCCAUGCAGACCAUGCAUCAAGAUUACCACUAUCUCCAAAUAGAUCGAACCGAGCAUCCACUUGAGCCCCUUCACCUAAGAGUACCAACAAGUGCGUCCAAAAUGGUUUCUUAGACUAUGGUGCAUUAGGUGCAAACUGUGCACCUAUCUUGCACCAAAAGUAACAAUAUCUCCAAAUGAACUGAAGCAAGAUUGCAUAUGACACACGUCAUCAAGGAGGUCCAUCGGUUGCAUCCAAAUUGAUUUCCAAGCAUAUGGUAUGUUCCAUGCAAAGCAUGCACCUACCUUGCAUAAGUAUUAGCACUAUCUCCAAACUGACCGAACCAAGCUUCCACUUUGGCCUCUUCAUCCAAGAGUACCAAAUAGUGCGUCCAAAAUGGUUUCUUAGACUAUGGUGCAUUAGGCGCAAACUGUGCAAUUAUCUUGCACUAAAACUUACAAUGUCUACAAACGGACAAAAGCAAGAUUCCAUAUGACACACGUCAUCUAGGAGUUCCAUUGGGUGCAUCCAAAUUGAUUUUUAAGCAUAUGGUAUGUUCCUUGCAAAUCAUGCCCCAAUCUUGCAUCAAGAUUAGCACUAUCUCCAAACAGAUCAAACCGAGCUUCCACUUGAGCCUCUUCACCGAACUACCAACAGGUGCUUCCAAAAUGGUUUCUUAGACUAUGGUGCAGUAGGCACAAACCAUGCACAUAUCUUGCACCGAAACUAACACUGUUUCUAAACAGACCAAAGCAAGAUUCCAUAUGACACACGUCAUGAAGGAGUUCCAUCGGGUGCAUCCACAUUGAUUUCCAAGCAUAUUGUAUGUUCCAUGCAAACCGAGCACCUAUCUUGCAUCAAGAUUAGCACUAUCUCCAAACACACCGAACCGAGCUUCCACUUGAGCCUCUUCAUCUAGGAGUACAAACAGGUGCGUCAAAAAUGGUUUCUUAGACUAUGGUGCAUUAGGCACAAACUAUGCACCUAUCUGCAUCGAAACUAACAUUGUCUCCAAACAGAGCGAAGCGAGAUUCCAUGUGACACACGUCAUCUAGGAGUUCCAUUGAGUGCGUCCAAAUUGAUUUCUUAACAUAUUGUACGUUCCAUUCAAACUGCGCAACUAUCUUGCAUCAAGAUUAGCACUAUAUCCGAACAGACCAAAUCGAGCCUCCACUUGAGCCUCUUCAACUACGAGUACCAUCGAGUGCGUGUAAAAUGGUUUCUUAGCUAAUGGUGCAUUAGGCGUAAACCAUGCACAUAUCUUCUACCAAAACUAACAGUCUCUAAAUGAACCGAAGCAAGAUUCCAUAUGACACACAUCAUCAAGGAGUUAUAUCAGGUGCGUCCUAAUUGAUUUCUGAGCAUAUGGUAUGUUCCAUGCAAACCGUGCAUCUAUCUUGCAUCAAGAUUAGCACUAUCUCCAAGAAAUAAUGACACAAACAUAACUUUUCAAUGGCCGAAUACCUGGUCUCAGCAUCAACCAACCUCCUGCUUAAAUAGUAAAUCACACGUUCCUUCCCUUCAAACUCUUGAAUUAAAGCCGAACCGAUGACCACCCUAUCAGUAGACAAAUACAAUCUGAAGGGCUUCCCUUGCUGAGGUGGAAUCAGAACUAGAGGAUUUACCAAAUAGUUCUUGAUUUCAUUCAAGGUCAAUUGUUGCUCUUUCCCCCAGAUGAACUCUUGAUCGGCCUUCAACUUAAGCAAAGGACUGAAAGUACGAAUUUUACCAGAUAAAUUAGAUACAAACCUCCUGAUAAAAUUUACCUUGCCGAUCAAGGAUUGGAGCUCAGUCUUGUUGGUAGGGGCAACUAUUUUGUUGAUAGCAUCAAUGGAUCUCCGACUAAUUUCAAUCCCCCUUUGAUGCACCAUGAAGCCAAGAAAUUGUCCUGCCGAUACACCAAAUGCACACUUAUUGGGAUUCAUCUUCAAACCAUGCUUCCUUGUGCAUUCCAACACCUUUCGCAAAUCGGCAAGAUGCUUUGUGAAGUCUCCAGACUUAACCACCACAUCAUCAAUAUAAAUUUCCACCAGCUUGCCGAUGAACUCAUGAAAUAUAAAAUUCAUAGCCCUUUGAUAAGUAGCACCAUCAUUUUUCAAGCCAAAGGUCAUGACUAUCCAUUCAAACAACCCAACAUGACCAGGACAUCUAAAUGCAGUCUUUGGAAUAUCUUCUUCAGCCAUGAAUAUUUGAUUGUAUCUUGCAUUACCAUCCAUAAAGCUGAUGAUCCGAUGCCUAGCCGCAGCAUCAACUAGUAGAUCGGCAACUGGCAUCGGGUAGCCAUCCAUCGGUGUAGCUUUAUUGAGAUUCCUGAAAUCAAUGCAGACCCGAAGCUUCCCAUUUUUCUUGUAGACUGGAACCACAUUGGAAAUCCACUCGGCAUACCGACACUGCCGAAUAAAUUUAGCUUCAAUAAGUUUAGUGAUUUCGGCCUUGAUAUCAGGAAGAAUAUUAGGAUUACAUCGGCGAGCUGGCUGUUGAUGUGGCCGAAAUCCAGACUUAAUGGGUAACCGAUGUUCAACAAUUGAUCGGUCCAAACCAAGCAUCUCAGUAUAAUCCCAAGCAAAGCAAUCUUUAUAUUCCUUUAACAAAUCAGUUAACUGUUGCUUACACUCAGAAUUUAACUUAGCACUAAUAAAGGUAGGUCUAGGUUUAUCACCACUACGCAUAUCAACUUCUACUAAAUCAUCGGCCGAUGUGAAUCCCUGGCCUAAUUUUCCAUCAUCGACGAACCUAUCCAUUAAAAACCUUCAUCAGAACCGACUGCUUGGAUCGGUGGAAUUUCAUAAUCGGCAACUUUGAGAAAAUCCUUUUCCCAAACUUCUCCUGAAAUACACCUAGUUCUUUCGUAGGUGUCUGCCUCUGCCGAUGCAAUAACAUAGGAAGAAUCUCCCGGGACAAUUUCGAUCUUGUCACCUACCCACUGGACCAAGCAUUGAUGCAUUGUUGAUGGUAUGCAACAAUUGGCUUGAAUCCAAUCUCUUCCCAACAGCAAGUUAUAAGCAUCUUUUCCACUGAUCACAAAGAAAGUUGUCGGCAAGGUCUUGCUACCGAUAGUCAACUCAACACAGAUGGCUCCCUUAACCGGAGAUACAUUCCCUUCGAAGACUUUGAGCAUCAUAUCGGUCUUGGUCAAAUCCUGAUCUCCUUUUUCAAGCUUCCGAUACAUUGCAUAUGGCAUGAUGUUGAUGGCAGCCCCACCAUCAACCAAAAUCUUGGUCAUCGGCUGACCAUCCACCCUUCCUUUGACAAAUAGAGCCUUAAGAUGCUGCCUUUCAUCAUCGGCGGGCUUCUCAAAGAUGGUUGUCAUCGGAUCCAGAGCCAACUGAGCUAUUUGGUCGGAAAACUCCAACUCAUCAUCACUGGACGGUGCAAGGAAUUCCAUCGGCAACAUAAAUACCAUGUUGACAUCUGCCGAUGGACCUUUUCCCUUAGGAUCCGAUUGUUGCUGAUCCCUAGACUGGUCAGAGUUCUCACCCUUGUUCAACUCCUCUCGUCUUUCGCGUUGCAGCCUCCUUUUUUGUGUCCUGGUCAGCCCCUUUAGACACCAUGGAGGAAGUUGUUUCUACCUUAUCGAUGGGCGACGAUUUUCCCUUGACUCCAUUCGAUAAGUAUUGGCAUCCCUGCAAAAUAUGAACUCAUCGAGAACUCGUGCAUUAGCCAUCUCCUCAAGUUCUUCUUAGUUCCUGGGAAAGUACUCAACACGAUCACCAAGCCUGUCGUGCACACUGAGCCUGCCCCCUAGCCGAUCAUGAACGGACGCUCUCCCCCUAAUCGGCCCAUCAAACCGGCGGUUAUUGUUUUGAUACUGCCGAUUUGAUCUGUCAUACCGGUCAUAACCAUUACAUUCUGGGCAGUCUCUGACAGUAGGAAGCUUGAUAUUCUCUUCCCAACAAUGGAUGAAGAACGGACAGUUCCAGUGAUCUCUAUGCCGGUUCCACUCUUGUCGGCGUCUUUCUUCUUCCCAAUGAUAGUCUUCUUGCUGGCGCCGAUACCGAUCCUCACGCUGCUGCCAAGUCUCUCGAGGCCUUCUGUGAGUUAUGACAAUACAGAUCGGGGAGGCCUUCCUGAGCUAUUUUCUUCCUGGAUUAAGCCUUUUCCCUUGGCGUCGGUAGUAGUGAUAUGAUGCUGAGGAUCCACCGAUGCACUUCUCUCAGCUGCUUCUGAUGUCAAGACUUUGGCCUUUCCCUUAGCAUCCAGCAUGUUUGUUGGGAAAGGAUGCUGAUCUAUCUUCAUCGGCUUCUGAGUUUUAGAGCUGUCAAAUUUGAUCCUCCCAGAUUCUAUAGCCGAUUGCAGCUGUUGUCUGAAAACUUUGCACUCAUUGGUGCUGUGAGAAGUUGUAUUAUGCCAUUUGUAGUACUUCAUCUUUUUUAAUUCCUCAGCCGAUGGGAUUACAUGAUUGGGUGACAAUUUGAUCUGACCUUCCUGAAGUAGAAAGUUGAAUAUCCUAUCGGCUUUGGUGAUGUCAAACGCGAACUUCUCCGGCUCCUUGUGCCCAAAAGGGCAAGACAUCGGCUUCUUAUUUUUUACCCAUUCUGCCAAGCCGAUGACUGGUUCUUCAUCAGAGUUUGAGCUUGCUACCUCAUCGACAAAUGACACCUUUCUGUUCCAGGCCCUCUUAGGUUCAAAGGGCUUAAUAUCCUGGUCGGAAAUCCUUUGGACCAAGUGACUUAGAGUCUCGAACUCCUGAGAAGCAUAUUUGUCCCUGAUGUGUGGCAACAAGCCCUGGAAGGCUAAAUCGGCUAGCUGCCGAUCGUCUAGAACCAGACUAUAACAUUUGUUCUUGACCUCUCGUAUCCUCUGCACAAAACUUUCAAUUGAUUCAUCAUUGCGUUGCUUCAAUUUGACCAAAUCGGUGAUCUUCUUCUCAUGGACUCCAGAAAAGAAGUAUUUGUGGAAUUGCUUCUCUAGAUCGGCCCAAGUAAUCACUGAGUUAGGAGGUAAUGAUAUAAACCAGGUGAACGCCGAUCUAGACAAUGACGACGAGAACAACCGGACUCUUAACUCGUCUCUGUUAGCAGCUUCUCCACAAUGAAUGAUAAACCUGUUGACAUGUUCCAUGGUUGACGUAUCAUCCUGCCCAGAAAACUUAGUAAAAUCCGGCACUUUGUACCGAUUUGGGAGCGGGAUUAAAUCAUAAGCAGGAGGAUAGGUGUCUGAUAAGAGUAAGUGUUGACUUUGGGUUUUAUCCCAAAUUGGUCUCUCAUUACUUCGGCAAUCUUAUCGGCCCAAUAAGCAUCGGCAUCCUGCCGAUGAGGCAGUUGCGGCUCUGGGAUCUGCUGAUAUACUUCCGCGUGUCUAUGUGGUGCGCGAUCUGCAUAGAACAUUGGGUUAAUCAUCUGGGCACCCACCUGCUAACCGCCAAACUGUGGACCACCAAACUGCUGACCACCAAUCUGUUGUCCGCCAAUCUGCUGCCCAAGAUUCAUCGGCUGGUUGGGCAAUCCUUGAUUCUGGAACCCAAGGUAGAUCUGGCCUUGUUGAAACCCUGUAGCCUGAUGAUUCUGUUGAGACAUCUGUGGAAAGACUUGCUGCCCAGACCAUCCACUAUUAGCAUUCAUCGGCAUAGGCCCUGCCGAUGACUGGUAAUUGGGCAUCAUCAUUGAGUUGACAUACCCUUGCUGAGCCAUAAACCUCUGCUGCGUCGGCAUUGAAUCUGCCGAUGCAUUAGGCAUCUAGAACGUUGGAGCUUGAGAAUUCCCAGUGUAAGGUCUUGCAGUAGUGGUUGUAGUAUACUGGGGACUUUGAUUCAUCGGCAUGUUCGAAGGUGCCGAUGCCAUAAGAGCCUGCCUGAGAUGUGCCAGGUGUCUUCAAGUAUUCCCGGGGCAUACCAAAACCCCACCAAUUAGGAGGAACCGAUCCGGACAUUGCCGAUGCCAAUAGAUCUGUAGUAAGCUUGAUCGACUCAUCUGAUGUUGAUGGAUUGGACGGCAUCGGCGUGGAUUGCGCAUUAGACACUCCUAGCGUGCUCGGAGGAACAGUAGUUUCUGUGCCUGCAGCGGCCGUAGCGGCCGAUGGAGCCGUAACCACUGGCGAUUCUGGCUGAUGAUAGACAGGGCCCACAUAAUUUGGUGGCAAUUGUCCUUCUUUGAAAGUUCUAGCCACGACAUUGAAAACCGUGUUGGACAGCACACCAGCUUGGUUGAUUAAGGCACGGUUGAUAGCACUAUCGACCAUGUCUUGGAGUUUACCAGGAUUGGCUUCAAAAGUAACCUGCCGAGGGUCCAGCAGUGCUUCCUUCUGGAUCACCUCGCCACUCCUGUUUAUGCUGAAGGCCUUGAGACAUUGUUGCUUAUAAUCCUCCAUAGCCUUCGCAAUAGCUUGCUUUUGCUCAUCUUUGAGGCUAGCUUCUAUCACGGGGAUGACGUUCUCCAAGUCGAACUCAGUAGUCGAUAUGUUGAUCUUGACCUUUGAAUCUAGUCCCACCGGGCGUGCCAAAAGAUGUGUUGAUGCAAAAGCUGGAUCUGCAAACACAAAGGGCUAAUACCCGAUUCAAACGUUAAGGCGUGCCAGCCAAUUUGACCUUACUAUCGGCAAAGGUGAUAACUCGAAUACUUUGAUUCCGACAACAGCGAUGCGCCCAGAUGUCACGGCCAAGAGGUAUUCACGCGGAACUCGAGAAUACGCCAAGCUUAAGUCGGCGAACUCCUAAGAACUCGUAAUGAAAAGGAAAAAUAUGACGAAGUCGUCGAAAAAGUAGAUGCUGGAAUAUGAGUAUGAGUAAAAACUGGUGUUUUAUUGAUUAAUUGAUUCUCAUUACAAAGCCCUAGGGUCUACAUUUAUACCCUGCUCAAAGAGCUACAAUCAGACACGACUAGGACUCGAAUUCCAAAUUAGACAGAAUUUGUAUACAAAACGAUUUAAAUAACUAAGGAAAACAUAAAACUAUCCUUCCAUGACAAACUAGGACACCACCAUAGGUCAAUCGGCAACCUUCAUGUCCUCCAUCCGAGUCAUCGACAGACCUCUCAUCAUAGUCAUUGGUAAAGACUUAACGCUGACCAUCGGCACGGACGCGCCACCUCUUCUGGACUUAGCCAUAUUCAGCUAUCUCCUCAUCGGCAACCAUCCUCGUCGGCAACUCCUUUGCAGACCAGUUACCACUGCCACAUCUUGCCGAUCUACACUCUACCGAUCCUGGGUACGUGUCCAAAAACGGUGUCAACAGCACCAAAACUAACACUAUUUCUAAACAGACCAAAGUGAGAUUCCAUAUGACACACAUCAUCAAGGAGUUCCAUCGGGUCCAUCCAAAUUGAUUUCCAAGCAUAUGGUAUGUUCCAUGCAAACCGUGCACCUAUCUUACAUCAAGAUUAGCACUAUCUCCAAACAGACCGAACCGAGCUUCCACUUGAGCCUCUUCAUCUAGGAGUACAAACAGGUGCGUCAAAAAUGGUUUCUUAGACUAUGGUGCAUUAGGCACAAACUAUGCACCUAUCUUGCACUGAAACUAACAUUGUCACCAAACAGACCGAAGCGAGAUUCCAUAUGACACACGUCAUCUAGGAGUUCCAUUGGGUGCGUCCAAAUUGAUUUCUUAACAUAUGGUACGUUCUAUGCAAACUGUGCAACUAUCUUGCAUCAAGAUUAGCACUAUAUCCAAACAGACCAAAUCGAGCCUCCACUUGAGCCUCUUCAACUGUGAGUACCAUCGGGUGUGUCUAAAAUGGUUUCUUAGCCUAUGGUGCAUUAGGCGUAAACCGUGCACAUAUCUUCUACCAAAACUAACACUGUCUCUAAACGAACCGAAGCAAGAUUCCAUAUGACACACAUCAUCAAGGAGUUAUAUCAGGUGCGUCCUAAUUGAUUUCUGAGCAUAUCAUAUGUUCCAUGCAAACCGUGCAUCUAUCUUGCAUUAAGAUUUGCACUAUCUGCAAUCAGACUAAACCGAGCUUUCACUUGAGCCCCUUGACCUAGGAGUACCAUCGGGUGCGACCAAAAUGGUUUCUUAUCCUAUGGUGCAUUAGGUGCAAACCGGUUACCUAUCUUGCACCGAAACUAACAUUGUCUCUAAACGGACCGAAAUGAGAUUCCAUAUGACAUGUCAUCUAGAAGUUCCAUCUGGUGCGACCAAAUUGAUUUCUGAGCAUAUGGUAUUGAUGCGAACCUGCUAGGGUUUUUGCUCGAUCUUUUGAUGAGAGACGGGGAUAACUCGAUUGGUGGAUGGAGAUGACGUUCACGGCCUGACUACAGCCCUCAAGACCGCGCCUUAGCAACCGAUACACCACGUCCAAUAGCCGUCAUGAUCUUGUGGAGCGCGACAACCAGCCCCUAGGGCUCCCGUCCUGCAAGCAAUCGAAGAACUAGCAAGAACGAGGAAACAAGCACUGAAUUUGCAACAUGAAUUGAAGGUUUCAAACUGAAUCUGAAUCAACAAUGGGGUUCCGAAGACAAGGAGACGGGCGGCUGAUCCUACACGCGCGCCUACAAGCAAGUAGCGAAGGCUAAACUUGAUCUAAACAAAACCCAACGACCAUGGUGACUCUAGAGGGAUAUAAGUAGAUUGAUUGACGACCAAAGAGGUGUUGGGGUCAUCCUCCAACCCUAGGACGCGUCCCUAAUGGACCCAACUUGAUACAUGGGCCAUCAGCCCAAAAUGAGGUGACGCAGCACCCUGGACAGCAAGACCUAUCGACGGUAAUUGGAUCAUUGCCGCUGCUGCCAAACAGGUAUUGACGUGGGACUUGAUUCAUAUGGAAGUAGACUUCAUAAGCUUUAAAACAAGUCCUGAAGCGCCUGAAUAUGAAUCCAUAUGCAACCGUGGUAACGAUCACAAGUUGGCGCUUUGCUGCUGUCCGAAUCCAGCGAGCGUGAGUCCUUCUCCCUUCCGGUCUUCUCCUUGGUUCCUAAUCAAAACAAGAGUGCACGCAUUUCCAUUGUCUAAACAAGAUGGACACGAGCUUAUGAAGGAACUCACUUGAUUAUUAAGUUGACGAACAUGAGCACGAGUAAGAGGACCAGCUAUAGUUUGUGUCGGAGAGGAUGUAUCGCGGGUGUUGAUGUCCUCAUCAUCCUCCCUUUCUUGCAUUUGAGUCGUCCUCGACUCAAGCUCAUCUUCCUCACCCAAAUGUGGGACUAACCCCAAAAUCUGCAGGAAGAUCAAGCUUAUAUGCAUUCUCAUUAAUUCGUUGCAGCACUUUAAAAGGACCAUCAGCUCUAGGCAUCAAUUUGGAUUUUCUCAGUUCUGGAAAUCUAUCUUUUCGCAAAUGCAACCAAACCAAAUCCCCAGGUUCCAGAAUCAAUUGUUUUCUACCUUUAUCUCUAGCGCAUUUGUACUUAGCAUUCAUGCGCUCUAUGUUUUGUUUAGUGGCUUCAUGCAAUUUUAACAUCAAUUCAGCACGUUGCUUAGCCUCAAAAUUUAUUUUUUCAGAACUUGGCAAAGGCAUUAAAUCAAUAGGAGCACGUGGCAAGAAGCCAUAGACAAUCUCAAAAGGACACAUUUUUGUAGUAGAAUGCAAUGAACGAUUAUAGGCGAACUCAAUAUGAGGCAAACAUUCUUCCCACAUCUUAAUAUUCUUCUUUAAAACAGCCCUUAACAUAGUGGAUAAAGUUCUAUUAACAACUUCAGUUUGACCAUCAGUUUGGGGAUGACAAGUGGUGGAAAAUAAAAGCUUAGUCCCCAAUUUGAACCACAAAGUCUUCCAAAAAUGACUAAGAAAUUUAGCAUCACGAUCAGAAACAAUUGUGUUGGGCACACCAUGUAAGCGAACAAUUUCUCGAAAGAACAAAUCAGCAAUAUUUGUAGCAUCAUCAGUUUUAUGACAUGGUAUAAAAUGUGCCAUCUUAGAAAAUCUAUCAACAACCACAAACACACUAUCACGUCCCCUCCUAGUCCUCGGUAGUCCCAACACAAAAUCCAUAGAUAUAUCCUCCCAAAGAGCAUUAGGAACAGGAAGAGGUAAAUACAAACCAUGGGGAUUUAACUGUGACUUUGCCUUUUGACAUGUUGUGCAAUGAGCAACAAACCUCUCCACAUCUCUCCUCAUCCUUGGCCAAAAGAAAUGACUAGCAAGUAUGUCCUCCGUCUUCUUUGCUCCAAAAUGUCCCAUCAAACCUCCUCCAUGAGCUUCCUGUAACAACAACAAACGAACAGAGCUAGCUGGAAUGCAUAGCUUGUUAGCUCUAAACACAAACCCAUCACUGACGAUGAAUUUAUCCCACCCUUUUCUAUCUUUACAAUGCAGCAACACGUCUCUAAAAUCAGCAUCAUGAACAUAUUGGUCUUUAAUUGUUUCUAACCCAAAUAUCUUGUAAUCAAGUUGAUUCAGCAAAGUAUAUCUCCGUGAUAAAGCAUCAGCAAUAAUAUUUUCCUUCCCUUUCUUGUGCUUAAUAAUAUAAGGAAAAGAUUCAAUAAAUUCAACCCAUUUUGCAUGCCUACGAUUCAGUUUUCCUUGACUACGAAUAUGUUUCAAAGAUUCAUGAUCAGAAUGGAUAAUAAACUCUUUGGGCCACAAAUAAUGCUGCCAUGUCUCUAAUGUUCUAACAAGAACAUAGAGUUCUUUAUCAUAAGUUGAAUAAUUGAGAACAGGCCCACUCAAUUUCUCACUAAAAUAUGCAAUAGGUUUUCCCUCUUGUAAUAAAACACCUCCCAAACCAACCACUAACAUCACAUUCAAGCUCAAAAGUCUUAUUAAAAUCAGGAAGUUGUAGGAGUGGUGCAUGAGUUAACUUAUCUUUCAACAUAUUGAAUGAAUUCUCUUGUGCUUUGCCCCAAUCAAAAGGCACCCCCUUCUUUGUAAGCUCAUUCAAUGGUGCAGCAAUGGUGCUGAAAUCCUUCACAAAACGGCGAUAGAAUCCAGCAAGUCCUAGGAAACUCCGCACCUAGGUGAUAGUAUUUGGGACAGGUCAUCCCUGUAUAGCUUCCACCUUGGCUUGAUCAACCUCAAUUCCCUGUGGAGUCACAACAUAACCAAGAAAAGACACUCGAUCGGUGCAAAAGGUGCACUUCCCAAGGUUACCAAAUAAACGUGCCUCGCGUAGUGCAUUAAAAACAGCACGUAAAUGAUCAAGAUGUUCAUCCAAUGAUUUGCUGUAAAUCAAUAUGUCAUCAAAAUAUACGACAACAAAUUUCCCAAUGAAAGCACGCAAAACCUCGUUCAUUAAUCUCAUGAAAGUACUAGGUGCAUUAGUUAACCCAAAAGGCAUGACUAACGACUCAUACAAACCGAACUUAGUUUUGAAAGCAGUUUUCCAUUCAUCUCCCAAUUUCAUACGAAUCUGGUGGUACCCACUACGUAAAUAAACUUUUGAAAACACAACAGCACCACUCAGCUCAUCUAGCAUAUCAUCUAAUCGUGGAAUAGGGUGUCGAUAUCGAAUGGUGAUAUUAUUAAUAGCUCUACAAUCAACACACAUACGCCAUGUUCCAUCUUUCUUAGGCACUAAAAUUACUGGAACAGCACAAGGACUAAGAGAUUCUCGGACAUAACCUUUGUCUAGUAGUUCUUGCACUUGUCGCUGAAUUUCCUUUGUUUCCUCCGGGUUUGUCCUGUAUGGUGCACGAUUUGGCAAAACUGCUCCAGGAAUAAGAUCAAUUUGGUGCUCAAUCCCGCGUAGUGGAGGCAGCCCUACUGGUACCUCACUUGGAAACACAUCAGAAUACUCCUGCAAAACGUUAGCAACAGCAAGGGGCAAAGAACAUUGCAUAUCCUCAAUUGAAAUCAAAGCAUCCUUACAUAUCAAAGCAUAAGCAACAGAAGUGGAUGCAUUGAACUCAUUAAUAUCUGAUUUGGUAGCUAUCAUACAACGUCCUUUCAGUUUUAUCUCAUCUUUGUUACCAAUUACAGAUUUAUCAUUUUUAUUGCUCUCACUCUUUGCUUUAGUAGCCCUAGCAACAUCAGUUUGCAUAAUAGUUUCAGGGGACAUAGGAUGCAACACAAUUUUGCGAUCAUGGUAUAGAAAAGAAUACUGAUUUGAUCUACCAUGAUGCAUAGAAUCUCUAUCAAAUUGCCAAGGUCUACCUAGCAGAAUGUUACAAGCUUGCAUAGGCACAACAUCACAUUCAACAAUAUCUUUGUAGGAUCCGAUGGAAAAAUUAAUUCUCACAAGUCUAGUUACCUUUGCCUUACCACUGUUGUUCAGCCAUUGGAUGUAGUAGGGAUGCGGGUGUGGUUUGGUGUUGAGGGCAAGCUUCUGCACCAUAUCGCUGCAUGCCAAGUUGUUGCAGCUACCUCCAUCAAUGAUCAUGCGACAAGAACGCUCUUUGAUGACACACUUUGUUUGGAAUAAAAUGUGUCGCUGAUUUUGCUCCGCCAUCUCCAUUUGUGCACUAAGCACUCGCUGCACGAUCAAGCUCUCAUAGUGGUCCGCUUCACCUGCAUUAAUAUGUUCUUCUAUUUGAUCUUCAUUACCUGCAUGGUCAGUCGCAAGAAGUGCAAGUGUAUCCUCAUCAAAAUCACUAGCAGAUGAGUACUCACCAUCAUCCCUGACAAUCAUAGCUCGCUUGUUUGGACAGUCACGCAUCAUGUGCCCAUAUCCCUUGCACCGGUGACAUUGUAUGUUGCUUGUUCUACCCGUCGAUGCCACGGAUGAAGUACUCGCAGCAGGCUUUUGCAUCGUCUUCGCAACUGAAUUGGUGGGGGCAGCUCGAGUCUUGUCACUAGAUGAUGGAGUAGAAAUACGUGUAGAUGGAGUUGAAGCCACACGUUGCUGCCAUGAAUUAGCCUUCCCUGCAAAAAUAUUACUCCUUGCGCUAGCACGUCGUCCCUGCACUUCCCUUUCAGCUUUACAAGCAAGAUGAAACAAACGGGUUACAUUAUUGUAUUCUUUGUAAGCGAGGAUGUCCUGAAUUUCCCGAUUUAACCCACCCAAAAAUCUAGCCAUAGUCGGUUCCUCAUCCUCCUCUAGGUUACAACGCAACAUACCCGUUUGUAAUUCCUGAUAAUAUUCUUCUACACUUUUAGCACCUUGUCUUAACUGCUGCAACUUAUUUAUCAUAUCACGCGCAUAGUAAGAUGGAACAAAUCUAGCUCUCAUGGCCCUUUUCAGCGCAUCCCAAGUUCUAGGUAAGUUAUUAGGAUUUUUCUUUCCAUAUUCUAUCCACCAAACAGAAGCAAAAUCUGUAAACUCACUAGUAGCAGCCCUAACACGUGUAGUCUCAGGAAAUUCAUGACAUGCAAACUUUUGAUCAACAGCAAUCUCCCAAGUGAUGUAAGCAUCAGGGUCAUAUUUACCAUCAAAAGGGGGUAUCUUAACUUUAAUCUUACUGAAAGCAUCAUCAUUAUUGUGUACCUCGCGUCGGUGGUUGCCACCCAUACCUCUACGGUUGUGACGAAGGCGACGUCGAUCACGAGUGUCUUGAUCAUCAUGUUCAGUAUCACCAGUGUAGUCAUCUUCAUGACUACCGUGCUCUCGAUCUCCCUCCUUUUCUUCUUUAUGCUUCUUUUUAUCUUUGGUGUGGAAAUCAUCAAAUCGCCUUAGGAGAGCAGCAAGGCUUUUGUCCACACUAGCAAUGGAUUCCUCCAAACUUGUGAGCUUGUUGUUUGUGGCAAUCUGCGUAGCCUCCAACUGCCCCAGCUUUUUCAUUUGUCACCUGCAAGUCGUUAUCAAGUCCCUCUAUGUGCAGCUUCACUUUCCUUUCAAAAUGUUGUAUGAUGCCCUUAGUGCGAGGUGUAAGUGGUGUUUCGUUACCAUCAUCUGCCCCUGGCAUGGUUCAAAGACAAAGACAACAAAAAGGCAAGUGAAAAAAUAAAAGCCCUACAACUACUAGGAUGUAGCUACAGCAAGUCGCUCACACUCAACCUGUAACACAAGUUCUUACCAAUUCUUACCUUGCUUGACAGGAGGGGUCGUCUGCCAACAAGUGUACAGCAAUGGACGAAGUGUAUCGGUGCUGCAGCACAAGACCUGUCAAGCUGUAGAGUAUGUGGAGCUAUAGGUGGGCUGAAACAAGGAACGAACUAGCACCACGUUAGUUAUAAAAAGCGAGCUGAAUAAGCGUUCGACGAUGGUACUGUGCUGGUCCUAGGCUAGACCGUGCUAGAGACGCGAGCCUGGACACAAAGGAAAACCACAGCACACCCCUGAAAACAAGAUGGAAGAAACCUAAAAUCAAUAUAAAAAACAGCCCCUUUUUUUUGAAUCUUUUCUCUUUUUUUUCUUUUUUUUUUCUUUUUUUUUGGGCAACCUCAAAAACUGAUUAUAUGAACAAAAGAAUACAAAAGAGCAAUUCUCUCUCUCUCUCUCUCUAGAGUAGGGCCGAACAAGUAUGGAGUUAUCCUUCUUUUUUUUAUCACGUUGGUGGAACUCAGAUUGGAACUCUACUCGAUCCGGACCAAGACCACAGUUCAAUUCGGACUUCGCAACAGAUUCGACAGAGAGAAGAUAUGGUAAUACUCGGCUGUGUAUAGAUGGUGACAAGAACUCGAAACUCUAAAGGACUAGACACUAAGACUAGCAACUCGACACAAACCGAAGCAACGCAAAUUCAACAAGCCCUAACCAAAACGGUACUAGCCAAGGCACAAAGGUUUAAUAGGAUUAUGGAAAAACUAAUCUACUAUAUUUUUUUUGGCUUUUCUGGAUUAUAGGAAAUUAAUUAAAAACAGCAAAGGAUUAGAAGUCUCUCACCGAAGAACCUUGCUCUGAUUACCAACUGAUGCGAACCCGCUAGGGUUUUUGCUUGAUCUUUUGAUGAGAGACGGGGAUAACUCGAUUGGUGGAUGGAGAUGACGUUCACGGCCCGACUACAGCCCUCAAGACCGCGCCUUAGCAACCGAUACACCACGUCCAACAGCCGUCACGAUCUUGUGGAGCGCGACAACCAGCCCCUAGGGCUCCCGUCCUGCAAGCAAUCGAUGAACUAGCAAGAACGAGGAAACAAGCACUGAAUUUGCAAGAUGAAUUGAAGGUUUCAAACUGAAUCUGAAUCAACAAUGGGGUUCUGAAGACAAGGAGACGGGCGACUGAUCCUGCACGCGCGCCUACAAGCAAGUAGCGAAGGCUAAACUUGAUCUAAAUAAAACCCAACGACCAUGGCCGCUCUAGAGGGAUAUAAGUAGAUGGAUUGAUGACCAAAGAGGUGUUGGGGUCGUCCUCCAACCCUAGGACGCGUUCCUAAUGGACCCAACUUGAUACAUGGGCCAUCAGCCCAAAAUGAGGUGACGCAGCACCCUGGACAGCAAGACCUAUCGACGGUAAUUGGAUCAUUGCCGCUACUGCCGAACAGGUAUUGACGUGGGACUUGAUUCAUAUGAAAGUAGACUUGAUAAGCUUUUCAACAAGUUCUGAAGCGCCUGA
Molecule: long non-coding RNA, 20587 nt
Filed under: Sorghum bicolor (sorghum)
Lineage: Eukaryota; Viridiplantae; Streptophyta; Magnoliopsida; Poales; Poaceae
Description: long non-coding RNA (SBIC_LNC018584)
Source: RNAcentral